AGUCACGAUCAGCGAUAAAUCUCGACGCGCUGGCCGAAUUUGGAAGUCGAAUAUCUCUGGCCGAAGAUCUCUGAAUAUGUUCCCGCGAGUUUGGUUAAGGUUUAUUUAGUUCACGGUGUUUUCCGUUUCGAUAUCGAUUUGAAUAUUUGAAUUUAGAACCUUGGCUGCAAUGAAGAUGAAAUUUUUUCUACUCUUGAACUUGACGUAUAUGUAGCUUGGUUUGUUUUCUUUUUAAUAAAAUUACAUCGCAUUGCAGUUACAAAUACCUUGUUUACAACUUGAAUUUGGCUAACAAUACAUUUCAUCUUCAAGC
This is a long non-coding RNA of Amphibalanus amphitrite, 313 nucleotides long. RefSeq lists it as uncharacterized. NCBI's taxonomy places the organism in Eukaryota, Metazoa, Arthropoda, Thecostraca, Balanomorpha, Balanidae. The transcript is spliced from 2 exons. The record is from RefSeq and is a predicted model, not a curated record.